This 1241-nucleotide ribosomal RNA is filed under the name Candidatus Phytoplasma mali. RNAcentral describes it as "bacterial SSU rRNA". It matches the Rfam family "Bacterial small subunit ribosomal RNA", at positions 153 to 1399 of the family's 1533-position model. The record is from RNAcentral. Lineage: Bacteria; Bacillati; Mycoplasmatota; Mollicutes; Acholeplasmatales; Acholeplasmataceae.
GAAACGACUGCUAAGACUGGAUAGGAAGUUUUAAGGCAUCUUGAAACUUUUAAAAGACCCGCAAGGGUAUGCUAAGAGAUGGGCUUGCGGCACAUUAGUUAGUUGGUAAGGUAACGGCUUACCAAGACUAUGAUGUGUAGCUGGACUGAGAGGUUGAACGGCCACAUUGGGAUUGAGAUACGGCCCAAACUCCUACGGGAGGCAGCAGUAAGGAAUUUUCGGCAAUGGAGGAAACUCUGACCGAGCAACGCCGCGUGAACGAUGAAAUAUUUAGGUAUGUAAAGUUCUUUUAUUAAAGAAGAAAAAAUGAUGGAAAAAUCAUUCUGACGGUAUUUAAUGAAUAAGCCCCGGCUAACUAUGUGCCAGCAGCUGCGGUAAUACAUGGGGGGCAAGCGUUAUCCGGAUUUAUUGGGCGUAAAGGGUGUGUAGGCGGUUUAAUAAGUCUAUGGUAUAAGUUCAACGCUUAACGUUGUGAUGCUAUGGAAACUGUUUGACUAGAGUUGGAUAGAGGCAAGUGGAAUUCCAUGUGUAGCGGUAAAAUGCGUAAAUAUAUGGAGGAACACCAGUAGCGAAGGCGGCUUGCUGGGUCUUAACUGACGCUGAGGCACGAAAGCGUGGGGAGCAAACAGGAUUAGAUACCCUGGUAGUCCACGCCGUAAACGAUGAGUACUAAGUGUUGGGUUAAACCAGUGCUGAAGUUAACACAUUAAGUACUCCGCCUGAGUAGUACGUACGCAAGUAUGAAACUUAAAGGAAUUGACGGGACUCCGCACAAGCGGUGGAUCAUGUUGUUUAAUUCGAAGAUACACGAAAAACCUUACCAGGUCUUGACAUACUUUGCAAAGCUAUAGAAAUAUAGUGGAGGUUAUCAGGGAUACAGGUGGUGCAUGGUUGUCGUCAGCUCGUGUCGUGAGAUGUUGGGUUAAGUCCCGCAACGAGCGCAACCCUUAUCGCUAGUUACCAUCAUUUAGUUGGGCACUUUAGUGAGACUGCCAAUGAUAAAUUGGAGGAAGGUGGGGAUUACGUCAAAUCAUCAUGCCCCUUAUGACCUGGGCUACAAACGUGAUACAAUGGCUGUUACAAAGAGUAGCUGAAGCGUGAGUUUUUAGCAAAUCUCAAAAAAACAGUCUCAGUUCGGAUUGAAGUCUGCAACUCGACUUCAUGAAGUCGGAAUCGCUAGUAAUCGCGAAUCAGCAUGUCGUGGUGAAUACGUUCUCGGGGUUUGUACACACCGCCCGUCA